CCCUUAGAUGUUCUGGGCCGCACGCGCGCUACACUGAUUCAUGCAACGAGUUUUGUCCUUGGCUGAAAGGCCUGGGUAAUCUUUGAACGUGAAUCGUGCUGGGGAUAGAUGAUUGCAAUUAUUCAUCUUCAACGAGGAAUUCCUAGUAAACGCAAGUCAUCAGCUUGCAUUGAUUACGUCCCUGCCCUUUGUACACACCGCCCGUCGCACCUACCGAUUGAAUGGUCCGGUGAAAUCUUCGGAUCUGAGAGAUGUUGGAUUAAUUUCUGACGCCUUUUGGAAAAGUCGCUUAAACCUUAUCAUUUAGAGGAAGGUGAAGUCGUANCA
RNAcentral lists this ribosomal RNA (327 nucleotides) under uncultured eukaryote. Its description in RNAcentral is "partial 18S ribosomal RNA". It matches the Rfam family "Eukaryotic small subunit ribosomal RNA", at positions 1470 to 1796 of the family's 1831-position model. The record is from RNAcentral.